AGGUCGGUAGUUCAGUGGCUAGAAUAGUGGUCUCCAAAACCAUAGACUUGGGUUCGAGUCCCAACUGACCUGCCA
Molecule: transfer RNA, 75 nt
Filed under: Bacteriophage sp.
Description: tRNA-Trp
Rfam family: tRNA
About the family: Transfer RNA (tRNA) molecules are approximately 80 nucleotides in length.
Source: RNAcentral